AGCGAACGCUGGCGGCAGGCUUAACACAUGCAAGUCGAGCGGGCAUCCUUGUGGUGUCAGCGGCAGACGGGUGAGUAACGCGUGGGAACGUGCCCUUCGGUUCGGAAUAACUCAGGGAAACUUGAGCUAAUACCGGAUACGUGCGAGAGCAGAAAGGUUUAUCUGCCGAAGGAUCGGCCCGCGUCUGAUUAGCUAGUUGGUGAGGUUAUGGCUCACCAAGGCGACGAUCAGUAGCUGGUCUGAGAGGAUGAUCAGCCACACUGGGACUGAGACACGGCCCAGACUCCUACGGGAGGCAGCAGUGGUGAAUAUUGGACAAUGGGGGCAACCCUGAUCCAGCCAUGCCGCGUGAGUGAUGACGGCCUUAGGGUUGUAAAGCUCUUUUCUCCGGGACGAUAAUGACGGUACCGGAGGAAUAAGCCCCGGCUAACUUCGUG
This 437-nucleotide ribosomal RNA is filed under the name uncultured bacterium. Its description in RNAcentral is "partial 16S ribosomal RNA". It matches the Rfam family "Bacterial small subunit ribosomal RNA", at positions 29 to 507 of the family's 1533-position model. The record is from RNAcentral.